ACUGAGGGCUAUCCCGACAGACUCUUCACUGUGAACCCUAGUCAUUGGAAAUGCCUCAAAGAACAAGUCUGUUUCACUUUACCUUCAUGGCUACUGCCAUUAGCCCUGUGGGAUAUUACUGCAGAACAAAU
Coregonus clupeaformis (lake whitefish) is the source of this 131-nucleotide small nucleolar RNA. The record is from RefSeq and is a predicted model, not a curated record. Lineage: Eukaryota; Metazoa; Chordata; Actinopteri; Salmoniformes; Salmonidae.